This 59-nucleotide transfer RNA is filed under the name Gordionus alpestris. RNAcentral's name for it is "tRNA-Gly". Lineage: Eukaryota; Metazoa; Nematomorpha; Gordioida; Chordodea; Parachordodidae. The record is from RNAcentral. RNAcentral also lists the same sequence under 1 other name.
ACUAUUUUAGUAUAAAUUAAGUACAUCUAAUUUCCAAUUAGAAAGAAAUUAAAAUAGUA